This 1250-nucleotide ribosomal RNA is filed under the name uncultured bacterium. RNAcentral's name for it is "bacterial SSU rRNA". It matches the Rfam family "Bacterial small subunit ribosomal RNA", at positions 102 to 1315 of the family's 1533-position model. The record is from RNAcentral.
ACGAGUGAGUAACACGUGAGUAACCUGUCCCCGGGUCUGGGAUAACUACCCGAAAGGGUAGCUAAUACCGGAUAAAGUCACCGGACGCAAGUUCGGUGAUGAAAGGGGGCCUCUGCAUAGCAAGCUCCUGCCUGGGGAGGGGCUCGCGGCCCAUCAGCUAGUUGGUGGGGUAACGGCCCACCAAGGCGACGACGGGUAGCCGGCCUGAGAGGGUGGUCGGCCACGCGGGCACUGAGACACGGGCCCGACUCCUACGGGAGGCAGCAGGGGGGAAUCUUGGGCAAUGGGCGAAAGCCUGACCCAGCGACGCCGCGUGGGGGAAGAAGGCCUUCGGGUCGUAAACCCCUGUUCUGGAGGAAGAACCCAGGAUAGGUGAAUAACCUAUCCUGGCUGACGGUACUCCAGGAGAAAGCCACGGCUAACUGCGUGCCAGCAGCCGCGGUAAUACGCAGGUGGCGAGCGUUGCCCGGAAUUACUGGGCGUAAAGGGUGCGUAGGCGGCCGGACAAGUCAUAGGUUAAAGCCCGGAGCUCAACUCCGGAAAGGCCUAUGAUACUGUCUGGCUUGAGGGCCGGAGAGGCUGGCGGAAUUCCCGGUGUAGGGGUGAAAUCCGUAGAUAUCGGGAGGAACACCGGUGGGGAAGCCGGCCAGCUGGACGGUUCCUGACGCUGAGGCACGAAAGCGUGGGGAGCAAACCGGAUUAGAUACCCGGGUAGUCCACGCCGUAAACGAUGGGCGCUAGGUGUGGGGGUGAAAGCCUCUGUGCCGUAGCUAACGCGUUAAGCGCCCCGCCUGGGGAGUACGGCCGCAAGGCUGAAACUCAAAGGAAUUGACGGGGGCCCGCACAAGCGGUGGAGCACGUGGUUUAAUUCGAUGCAAAGCGAAGAACCUUACCUGGGCUUGACAUGCUAGGGUUGUACCCUGGUGGAAACACCGGGGGAGCGUAGGGGUUAUCUCUACGCGCUCUAGCACAGGUGCUGCAUGGCUGUCGUCAGCUCGUGUCGUGAGAUGUUGGGUUAAGUCCCGCAACGAGCGCAACCCCUGCCCUUAGUUGCCAUCGGUUCGGCCGGGCACUCUAAGGGGACUGCCGGGGAUAACCCGGAGGAAGGAGGGGAUGACGUCAAGUCCUCAUGGCCCUUAUGUCCAGGGCUACACACGUGCUACAAUGGGGGGUACAGAGGGUUGCGAACCCGCAAGGGGGAGCUAAUCCCAGAAAGCCCUCCUCAGUUCGGAUCGGGGUCUGCAACUCGA